RNAcentral lists this ribosomal RNA (253 nucleotides) under uncultured bacterium. RNAcentral describes it as "partial 16S ribosomal RNA". It matches the Rfam family "Bacterial small subunit ribosomal RNA", at positions 524 to 776 of the family's 1533-position model. The record is from RNAcentral.
UACGUAGGGUGCAAGCGUUGUCCGGAAUUAUUGGGCGUAAAGAGCUCGUAGGCGGUUUGUCGCGUCGAAUGUGAAAACCCGGGGCUCAACUCCGGGCCUGCAUUCGAUACGGGCAGACUAGAGUUCGGUAGGGGAGACUGGAAUUCCUGGUGUAGCGGUGAAAUGCGCAGAUAUCAGGAGGAACACCGGUGGCGAAGGCGGGUCUCUGGGCCGAAACUGACGCUGAGGAGCGAAAGCGUGGGGAGCAAACAGG